Non-coding RNA from Xyrichtys novacula (pearly razorfish), 244 nucleotides. Lineage: Eukaryota; Metazoa; Chordata; Actinopteri; Labriformes; Labridae. The record is from the annotation of a GenBank genome assembly.
GGUUGGGCUUGGAGCUAGGACUUUUCUGAGUGCAAUGAACCAACUCCCGAGUCUCUAGGACGUUCCCUAAAAAAAUUUGAUUUUUUCCCAUAGGAAUGCAUGGGUUAGGGUUGGAGCUAGGGUUAGGGUUAGGGUUAGGGUUGGAGUUAGGGUUAGUGUUGGAGCUAGGGUUAGGGUUGGGCUUGGAGCUAGGAUUUUUCUGAGUGCACUGAACCAACUCCCGAGUCUCUAGGACAUUCCUAAA